GUCGCCCCUGCACUUGGAAGCCUUGGAAUUGUCCGGAGUUGAAGGCCAAUCCCUUUUCCCCAAGUAUCUGUAGCCGACCGGAAUGGAAUAAUUUUUUUUUUUUCUCUCAAAUCCCUCCGGCGGGGAAUGGAAUAAUCCUAUGAUAAGGACCAAUCUUUUUUUCCCACACACCUCCUGUUAGAGCGAAUGGACUAAGUCUGUUGCUGUGCUAAAUCUCUUUUGCUCAUACCCGUCCACCGGGACGGAAUGGAAUAGUCCGGUGCUGAUGACAAAUCUCUUUUAUCCACACACCUGCAGCAGACAUGAAUGUAAUAGUUUCAUGUUAAAGACCAGUAUUUUCCCCCUGCGGAGUUGGAAAUGGAAUAAUCCCACUGGGCGGGAGGGGUGGGGAUGAGGCUGUGUGUUCUAGACGAGACGCACGCGCAAUGGGAAGGCUGAGGCUGGAGGUAAGAGGAGGUUGUGGAGAUUUAGGAAGCUGGGCGGGGACACUUGAAGUGGAAACUGGAAUCUGGGAGGUAGCGGCUCCCUCAGCUUGUCGGGUCCCAGGCUGGGCAGAUUUAUCCGGCGGAAAGUUGAAGAAGAGCAUCCUGUGAGCCGGCUCUGACCGGGGCCGUAGAUGCGAAGCAGACUACGCCCUUGUUUCCAGCACAGCCUUGGCAGACAUCUUUGAGGAGAGCGACUCAUACAGAGCAGGAACUUGGCUGUCCAUAUUGUCGCCAGCACCAGCAGGCACUGAUGGGGCAGACAAAUGGGAUUCGCUGAAGUGCAAGCCAAGUGGCGUGUGUCAGGCAAGUCAAACCUCCUCCUCCUCUCAGAGUCCCCAGGAGGUCAGCCUCUCCCUCCUUGUCCUGGUUCUCCCUCCCACUUCCUUCCCUGCUUCCAGAUCAGCCCUUUCAGAUACCACUGAGGGGAGUCAUCUGUGACCAUCUUCUGUCCCUGAAAGCACAUGGCUCACCUGCCAUCCAACCACCAGUGAUGGGCAGGUAAGCCUGAGGUGUGGGACAGCGGCUUUUAUCAGGCCACCAGCCUUGUUUCCAAGUCAGAGUCCAGGGAAGCAUCCUCUGCAAGUGUUACUGUUGACCUGGAAGAGAAUCUUCUCACAAGCACAGGUCUUAGCACUGUGAAGUGGCUCAAUAAGAGGAAUUGAUGAGAUUUUAUCAGUGGAAAUGAGAGUCAAGAAGAUACAUAACUAUUUGCUUUGCUGCUUGCACACAUGGCUGACGUGCAGCUGUAACCUCAGAUUUGUGAUCUUUCUCUUGUCAGAAUGUGAGCUUCUUGAGAGCAGAUUCUGUUUUGUUUUUCUAUUUGUAUCCUCAGCUCCUAGCACAUUGCUUUACACAGUUAUUGCUCAAUAAAAUACUUUUUCAUUCAUUCAUUCAUUCA
Long non-coding RNA from Antechinus flavipes (yellow-footed antechinus), 1383 nucleotides. RefSeq lists it as uncharacterized. The record is from RefSeq and is a predicted model, not a curated record. Lineage: Eukaryota; Metazoa; Chordata; Mammalia; Dasyuromorphia; Dasyuridae. The transcript is spliced from 2 exons.